UAUAACGAACAUAUGUGUAUAGAAAUGGCAUUCACUGGAAGAGAAAAGAUGUUUUGUGUGUUGGAGUGUGCUCGAACACAGUCGAACAAGACUGCAGCGUGCACUUGUGAGAGAGUCGUCUAAAAAGUCACCAACGGCAAUGCAGAUGUG
Octopus sinensis (East Asian common octopus) is the source of this 150-nucleotide long non-coding RNA. RefSeq lists it as uncharacterized. The transcript has 3 exons. The record is from RefSeq and is a predicted model, not a curated record. NCBI's taxonomy places the organism in Eukaryota, Metazoa, Mollusca, Cephalopoda, Octopoda, Octopodidae.